Long non-coding RNA from Carassius gibelio (silver crucian carp), 775 nucleotides. RefSeq lists it as uncharacterized. The record is from RefSeq and is a predicted model, not a curated record. NCBI's taxonomy places the organism in Eukaryota, Metazoa, Chordata, Actinopteri, Cypriniformes, Cyprinidae. The transcript is spliced from 3 exons.
CACAUAUCUGAAUUUUUGUGUGGCUGAAAUAGUUGAUUCAUCAAUUAAAACCUUUACAUCUACCUCUGAAGUCUCCUCAGCACCUUCAGACCUACAAACAACAGACGUCCCAUCGCUGGAGAUGCUGGAGAAACAACAUGAAUUUCAUAACUUGGCACAAUAACCUUUCAACUGGGCAACUUCUUUCUCCGAGGCUGACCGUUCUGCUUCCACCAGCAUCCAGAUAUUUUCCUGACAGGGUGAUCAGGGUUCCUCCAAUCUUAGGUCCUAUGCCUGGACUGAUAUCUGUGAUUUCUGGGGUCUUAUGAGAGAUAAGAGUUUGCUCUGGACCUGACAUUUCACCGUCAAUCCUACACACCAGCCUGAGCGAAGAAUGAAAAAUUACAUUUAUUAAUACAUUCAUGUUGUUAUUGUUAACCAAAAGUCUUAAAAAUUGGUUUUGAUCAUUUAAAAGAUUAGAAAAAACAAACAAAUAAAAAGACUAUAACUUAAACUAAAAUUACUAUUAGAACUAAUAAUUUAAAUAAAAGCUAAUUCAAAAUAUUAAUAAACACUGUGAUAGUAUAUAAAUAAUACUAAAAUAACAACACAUAUGUAUGUGUGAGGUUGCAAAGGUUAUCUGUCUCAUAAACGAAAGGGUACUGGAUAUUUUUGGGUUGAAAAAUGACAAAAAUCCCCAAUCUCUCUUUGAUAUGCAUCUGCCACAACUUCCUGCUUCAAUGGGAAAGAACUGUAUUUAUAUAUUUUUUUUGUGGAGAAACUAAAAUGUGUAUAU